UGGGGAAUAUUGCACAAUGGAGGGAACUCUGAUGCAGCGACGCCGCGUGAACGAAGAAGGCUUUCGAGUCGUAAAGUUCUUUUAUAUGGGAAGAUAAUGACGGUACCAUAAGAAAAAGCCCCGGCUAACUACGUGCCAGCAGCCGCGGUAAUACGUAGGGGGCUAGCGUUGUCCGGAAUCACUGGGCGUAAAGGGUUCGCAGGCGGAAAUGCAAGUCAGGUGUAAAAGGCAGUAGCUUAACUACUGUAAGCAUUUGACACUGCAUAUCUUGAGAAGAGUAGAGGUAAGUGGAAUUUUUAGUGUAGCGGUGAAAUGCGUAGAUAUUAAAAAGAAUACCGGUGGCGAAGGCGACUUACUGGGCUCAUUCUGACGCUGAGGAACGAAAGCGUGGGUAGCAAACAGG
This 403-nucleotide ribosomal RNA is filed under the name Fusobacteriota bacterium. RNAcentral describes it as "Fusobacteria bacterium partial 16S ribosomal RNA". It matches the Rfam family "Bacterial small subunit ribosomal RNA", at positions 355 to 776 of the family's 1533-position model. The record is from RNAcentral. Lineage: Bacteria; Fusobacteriati; Fusobacteriota.